AUGCUGGCGAAACAAAACUAUCCAUAGCCGCUGCAUGUUUAUGCACCUGUCCUGAUUGAUUCAGGGGCCUGUCGUUCAGCAGUUAUCGUUUGUUGAUGUUGUUCAUUGGUACUUUUUUUUUCCGUUUGGAUAUAUAAAUUAGAUCGUUGGUUUUCCUGUUCGAAUUGUGUACGCUAAUAAUUUUGGGGUCCUUUAUAGCUUGCUGUUUGGUCUGUAUCAAAGCCCUGUGUAAAAGGCCGUACUUUGACCUGUGUUUGUUAUUAUCAGGUUGAGAACAACCCUCCCUCAGACAAGGGGUCAUUUUACUGAUGUAGAAAAGAAAAUGAAAAUACCAAGGAUUUGUAUAGUUCUUCUAUACAAAACCUUUGAAAACUUAGA
Molecule: long non-coding RNA, 378 nt
Filed under: Mytilus galloprovincialis (Mediterranean mussel)
Lineage: Eukaryota; Metazoa; Mollusca; Bivalvia; Mytilida; Mytilidae
Source: RNAcentral